CGUAAGAUGACUGUAGGUGAAAGCUUACAUCUCUUCGGAGCAUUUUACGAGGUGCUGCAUGGUUGUCGUCAGCUCGUGCCGUGAGGUGUCGGGUUAAGUCCCAUAACGAGCGCAACCCUACCUUUAGUUGCCAUCAGGUAAUGCUGGGGACUCUAAAGGAACUGCCUACGCAAGUAGUGAGGAAGCGGGGAUGACGUCAAAUCAGCACGGCCCUUACGUCCAGGGCUACACACGUGCUACAAUGGCCGAUACAGAGGGCAGCUACCUGGUGACAGGAUGCAAAUCUCCAAAGUCGGUCUCAGUUCGGAUCGGAGUCUGCAACCCGACUCCGUGAAGUUGGAUUCGCUAGUAAUCGCGCAUCAGCCAUGGCGCGGCGAAUACGUUCCCGGGCCUU
RNAcentral lists this ribosomal RNA (394 nucleotides) under uncultured Sphingobacteriales bacterium. RNAcentral describes it as "bacterial SSU rRNA". It matches the Rfam family "Bacterial small subunit ribosomal RNA", at positions 986 to 1382 of the family's 1533-position model. Lineage: Bacteria; Pseudomonadati; Bacteroidota; Sphingobacteriia; Sphingobacteriales. The record is from RNAcentral.